UACGGGGGGGGCAAGCGUUGUUCGGAAUUACUGGGCGUAAAGGGUUUGUAGGUGGCUUGCUAAGUCAGACGUGAAAUCCCUCAGCUUAACUGGGGAACUGCGUCUGAGACUGGCAAGCUCGAGUGCAGGAGAGGAACGCGGAAUUCCAGGUGUAGCGGUGAAAUGCGUAGAGAUGUGGAGGAACACCAGUGGCGAAGGCGACUCUUUGGCCUGUAACUGACGCUGAGGCGCGAAAGCGUGGGGAGCAAACAGG
This 253-nucleotide ribosomal RNA is filed under the name uncultured bacterium. RNAcentral's name for it is "partial 16S ribosomal RNA". It matches the Rfam family "Bacterial small subunit ribosomal RNA", at positions 524 to 776 of the family's 1533-position model. The record is from RNAcentral.